UCAAGUUAACAAGGGCACACGGUGGAUGCCUUGGCACAAGCAGGCGAUGAAGGACGUGGUAAGCUGCGAUAAGCCUCGGGUAGGUGCAAACAACCUUCGAUCCGGGGAUUUCCGAAUGGGGCAACCCGCGGCGGGUAAUGCUGCCGUAUCCUUACGCUGAAUCCAUAGGCGUUUGGAAGCCAACUCGGGGAACUGAACCAUCUCAGUACCCGAAGGAACAGAAAUCAACCGAGAUUCCCCCAGUAGCGGCGAGCGAACGGGGAACAGCCUAAACCGGCCACUCCGCAAGGGGCGACCGGGGUCGUGGGACGGGUCACACGGAGUUACAAAUCUUUUCUAUAGCCGAAUCUUCUGGAAUGUUGAGCCAAAGAAGGUGAAAGCCCUGUACGCGAAAUGGAAAAGACUCCGACCCUGUUCCCGAGUACCACGGAGCACGUGAAACUCUGUGGGAAUCUAGGGGGACCACCCUCUAAGGCUAAAUACUCGCUUGUGACCGAUAGUGAACUAGUACCGUGAGGGAAAGGUGAGAAGAACCCCAGGUGGGGAGUAGCAGAACCUGAAACCGUGUGCUUACAAACAGUCGGAGCUUCGACCUUGCCCUCGGGCAUGGAAUGAGGUGACGGCGUGCCUUUUGCAUAAUGAGCCGGCGAGUUACUGGUACGUGGCAAGGUUAAGUCGCUCAGCGACGAAGCCGCAGCGAAAGCGAGUCCGAACAGGGCGUUGAGUCACGUGCCGUAGACCCGAAGCCAGGUGAUCUAUCCAUGGCCAGGUUGAAACCCCGGUAAGACGGGGUGGAGGACCGAACGGCAAAGUGUUGAAAAACUUUCCGAUGAGCUGUGGAUAGGGGUGAAAGGCUAAUCAAACCUGGAGAUAGCUGGUUCUCCCCGAAAUGCCUUUAGGGGCAGCCUCGCGUUAAGCUGUACGGGGGUAGAGCACUGGAUGGGCACGGGGUCCUACAAGACUACCAACCCCAACCAAACUCCGAAUACCGUUCAUGUGUUUCGCGGGAGUGAGGCUGCGAGGGAUAAGCUUCGUAGCCGUGAGGGAAACAACCCAGACCAUCAGCUAAGGCCCCAAAGUCAAUGCUAAGUGGCUAAGGAUGUGGGAUCGUUUUGACAGCCAGGAUGUUGGCUUAGAAGCAGCCAUACAUUUAAAGAGUGCGUAAUUGCUCACUGGUCUACAUGGCCCCGCGCCGAUAAUACUUGGGACUAAGCAUUGCGCCGAAGCUAUGGGAUGCUCGCAAGAGCAUCGGUAGGGGAGCGUUCUGUGCUGGGCGAAGGUAUCCCGUGAGGGGUGCUGGACGGCACAGAAGUGAUCAUGCCGGCAUGAGUAGCGAUAACGCAAGUGAGAACCUUGCGCACCGAAAGUCUAAGGUUUCCCGGGGAAGGCCAGUCCGCCCGGGGUUAGUCGGUCCCUAAGCCGAGGCCGAGAGGCGUAGGCGAUGGAAAGCAGGUAAAAUAUUCCUGCACUUGGAAACGGGCGACAAAGAAUCGUGAGGGGGGACGCAGAGGUGAAAGGUCAGCCACCGAUUGGAAAUGGUGGUCGAAGCCUGUAGGAGGACCGGGUAGGCAAAUCCGUCCGGUCUUAACUCUGAAGGGUGAUAGGGAAGUGAGCCUUCGGGCAAGCCAACUGACCCUAAACGUGCUGCCAAGAAAAGCCUCGCACGAGAGUUCGUUUUCAAACCGUACCGCAAACCGACACAGGUAGACGGGGAGAGAAUCCUAAGGUGCACGAGUGAUGCGCGGUCAAGGAACUCGGCCAAUUGUCUCCGUAACUUCGGGAGAAGGAGAGCCUGCGCAAGCAGGCCGCAGAGAAUCGGCCCUGGCGACUGUUUACCAAAAACACAGGUCUCUGCGAACACGUAAGUGGACGUAUAGGGACUGACACCUGCCCGGUGCUGGGAUGUUAAGGGGUGGUGUUAGCGCAAGCGAAGCACUAAACCGAAGCACCAGUAAACGGCGGCCGUAACUAUAACGGUCCUAAGGUAGCGAAAUUCCUUGUC
RNAcentral lists this ribosomal RNA (2002 nucleotides) under activated sludge metagenome. RNAcentral's name for it is "bacterial LSU rRNA". It matches the Rfam family "Bacterial large subunit ribosomal RNA", at positions 3 to 1973 of the family's 2925-position model. The record is from RNAcentral.